GAUGAACGCUGGCGGCGUGCCUAAUACAUGCAAGUCGAGCGAACGGACGAGAAGCUUGCUUCUCUGAUGUUAGCGGCGGACGGGUGAGUAACACGUGGAUAACCUACCUAUAAGACUGGGAUAACUUCGGGAAACCGGAGCUAAUACCGGAUAAUAUUUUGAACCGCAUGGUUCAAAAGUGAAAGACGGUCUUGCUGUCACUUAUAGAUGGAUCCGCGCUGCAUUAGCUAGUUGGUAAGGUAACGGCUUACCAAGGCAACGAUGCAUAGCCGACCUGAGAGGGUGAUCGGCCACACUGGAACUGAGACACGGUCCAGACUCCUACGGGAGGCAGCAGUAGGGAAUCUUCCGCAAUGGGCGAAAGCCUGACGGGGCAACGCCGCGUGAGUGAUGAAGGUCUUCGGAUCGUAAAACUCUGUUAUUAGGGAAGAACAUAUGUGUAAGUAACUGUGCACAUCUUGACGGUACCUAAUCAGAAAGCCACGGCUAACUACGU
RNAcentral lists this ribosomal RNA (496 nucleotides) under uncultured bacterium. Its description in RNAcentral is "partial 16S ribosomal RNA". It matches the Rfam family "Bacterial small subunit ribosomal RNA", at positions 28 to 506 of the family's 1533-position model. The record is from RNAcentral.